UGCAACGCGAAGAACCUUACCACUUCUUGACAUGGAGAUUAGAUCCUUCUUAACAGAAGGGCGCAGUUCGGCUGGAUCUCGCACAGGUGCUGCAUGGCUGUCGUCAGCUCGUGUCGUGAGAUGUUGGGUUAAGUCCCGCAACGAGCGUAACCCUCAUCCUUAGUUGCCAGCGGGUUAAGCCGGGCACUUUAAGGAGACUGCCAGUGGUAAACUGGAGGAAGGUGGGGAUGAUGUCAAGUCAGCACGGCCCUUAUGGGGUGGGCUACACACGUGCUACAAUGG
This 282-nucleotide ribosomal RNA is filed under the name uncultured Anaplasma sp. RNAcentral's name for it is "partial 16S ribosomal RNA". It matches the Rfam family "Bacterial small subunit ribosomal RNA", at positions 955 to 1233 of the family's 1533-position model. Lineage: Bacteria; Pseudomonadati; Pseudomonadota; Alphaproteobacteria; Rickettsiales; Anaplasmataceae. The record is from RNAcentral.